This 492-nucleotide ribosomal RNA is filed under the name uncultured bacterium. Its description in RNAcentral is "partial 16S ribosomal RNA". It matches the Rfam family "Bacterial small subunit ribosomal RNA", at positions 29 to 507 of the family's 1533-position model. The record is from RNAcentral.
AGUGAACGCUGGCGGCAGGCCUAACACAUGCAAGUCGAACGGACACACAGUAAGCUUUCGCCUCUACCGGUGGCGACUGGCGGAUGGGUGAGGCGUACAUCGGCAACCUCUAUUACGUGGGGGACAACGUAAGGCCGGUUAUGAUACCACCUCAUAUGUUCUACGGGUGAAAGCAGUAGAGCUUCAGAGUUUUCGCGUCUCUUUGAGCCGAUGCCGGAUUAGCUAGUUGGCGUGGUAAAGGCCCACCAAGGCGACGAUACGUAGCUGAUCUGAGAGGAUGAUCAGCCACACUGGAACUGAGACACGGUCCAGACUCCUACGGGAGGCAGCAGUGGGGAAUAUUGGGCAAUGGGCGCAAGCCUGAUCCAGCCAUGCCGCGUGAGUGAAGAAGGCCUUCGGGUUGUAAAGCCCUUUUGUUGGGAAAGAAAAGCAGUGGAAGAAAACACGGCUGUUCUGACGGUACCCAAAGAGAAAGCACCGGCUAACUUCGUG